AGUUUAACCAGAUGAAUCAGGACACUGCAGACUUCCUUCAAGAUAUCAUCAUCAUCUUGUCAUGGAAGUUCGUCACUUGACACCAAGAACUCGUCCCUGUCAAGAAUUCUUCAUACGUUUAUGUUCUAUUUUCAUGUUAUACGUUAUCUUUAUUGUUUCUGCAUUGUGAUCUUGUGAUGUCGCAUGCUUUAAAGAGGAAAUGAUGUCAUACGUUACACCUCUUAUGCUCUAUACUGCAUUGUGAUUGGUUCUCAGUUAUGUCACUCUUUUCUUUGCUGCU
This is a non-coding RNA of Pelobates cultripes (western spadefoot toad), 280 nucleotides long. The record is from the annotation of a GenBank genome assembly. NCBI's taxonomy places the organism in Eukaryota, Metazoa, Chordata, Amphibia, Anura, Pelobatidae.